RNAcentral lists this ribosomal RNA (1343 nucleotides) under uncultured bacterium. RNAcentral's name for it is "16S ribosomal RNA". It matches the Rfam family "Bacterial small subunit ribosomal RNA", at positions 28 to 1378 of the family's 1533-position model. The record is from RNAcentral.
GACGAACGCUUGCGGCGUGCUUAACACAUGCAAGUCGAACGGAAAGGCCCUGCUUUUGUGGGGUGCUCGAGUGGCGAACGGGUGAGUAACACGUGAGUAACCUGCCCUUGACUUUGGAAUAACUUCAGGAAACUGGGGCUAAUACCGGAUAGGAGCUCCUGCUGCAUGGUGGGGGUUGGAAAGUUUCGGCGGUUGGGGAUGGACUCGCGGCUUAUCAGCUUGUUGGUGGGGUAGUGGCUUACCAAGGCUUUGACGGGUAGCCGGCCUGAGAGGGUGACCGGCCACAUUGGGACUGAGAUACGGCCCAGACUCCUACGGGAGGCAGCAGUGGGGAAUAUUGCACAAUGGGCGGAAGCCUGAUGCAGCAACGCCGCGUGCGGGAUGACGGCCUUCGGGUUGUAAACCGCUUUCGCCUGUGACGAAGCGUGAGUGACGGUAAUGGGUAAAGAAGCACCGGCUAACUACGUGCCAGCAGCCGCGGUGAUACGUAGGGUGCGAGCGUUGUCCGGAUUUAUUGGGCGUAAAGGGCUCGUAGGUGGUUGAUCGCGUCGGAAGUGUAAUCUUGGGGCUUAACCCUGAGCGUGCUUUCGAUACGGGUUGACUUGAGGAAGGUAGGGGAGAAUGGAAUUCCUGGUGGAGCGGUGGAAUGCGCAGAUAUCAGGAGGAACACCAGUGGCGAAGGCGGUUCUCUGGGCCUUUCCUGACGCUGAGGAGCGAAAGCGUGGGGAGCGAACAGGCUUAGAUACCCUGGUAGUCCACGCUGUAAACGGUGGGUACUAGGUGUGGGGUCCAUUCCACGGGUUCCGUGCCGUAGCUAACGCUUUAAGUACCCCGCCUGGGGAGUGUGGCCGCAAGGCUAAAAUUCAAAGGAAUUGACGGGGCCCCGCACAAGCGGCGGAGCAUGCGGAUUAAUUCGAUGCAACGCGUAGAACCUUACCUGGGUUUGACAUGGAUCGGGAGUGCUCAGAGAUGGGUGUGCCUCUUUUGGGGUCGGUUCACAGGUGGUGCAUGGCUGUCGUCAGCUCGUGUCGUGAGAUGUUGGGUUAAGUCCCGCAACGAGCGCAACCCUUGUUCACUGUUGCCAGCACGUUAUGGUGGGGACUCAGUGGAGACCGCCGGGGUCAACUCGGAGGAAGGUGGGGAUGACGUCAAGUCAUCAUGCCCCCUAUGUCCAGGGCUUCACGCAUGCUACAAUGGCUGGUACAGAGAGUGGCGAGCCUGUGAGGGUGAGCGAAUCUCGGAAAGCCGGUCUCAGUUCGGAUUGGGGUCUGCAACUCGACCUCAUGAAGUCGGAGUCGCUAGUAAUCGCAGAUCAGCAACGCUGCGGUGAAUACGUUCCCGGG